UAGAAUUCCACGUGUAGCGGUGAAAUGCGUAGAGAUGUGGAGGAUACCGGUGGCGAAGGCGGCCUUCUGGACAGAUACUGACGCUGAGAUGCGAAAGCGUGGGGAGCAAACAGGAUUAGAUACCCUGGUAGUCCACGCUGUAAACGAUGUCGAUUUGGAGUUUGUUGCCCUGAGUGAUGGGCUCCGAAGCUAACGCGAUAAAUCGACCGCCUGGGGAGUACGGCCGCAAGGUUAAAACUCAAAUGAAUUGACGGGGGCCCGCACAAGCGGUGGAGCAUGUGGUUUAAUUCGAUGCAACGCGAAGAACCUUACCUGGUCUUGACAUCCACAGAAUCUUGCAGAGAUGCGAGAGUGCCUUCGGGAACUGUGAGACAGGUGCUGCAUGGCUGUCGUCAGCUCGUGUUGUGAAAUGUUGGGUUAAGUCCCGCAACGAGCGCAACCCUUAUCCUUUGUUGCCAGCGAUUCGGUCGGGAACUCAAAGGAGACUGCCGUUGAUAAAGCGGAGGAAGGUGGGGACGACGUCAAGUCAUCAUGGCCCUUACGACCAGGGCUGCACACGUGCUACAAUGGCGUAUACAAAGGGAGGCGACCUCGCGAGAGCAAGCGGACCUCAUAAAGUACGUCUAAGUCCGGAUUGGAGUCUGCAACUCGACUCCAUGAAGUCGGAAUCGCUAGUAAUCGUGAAUCAGAAUGU
RNAcentral lists this ribosomal RNA (694 nucleotides) under uncultured Gilliamella sp. RNAcentral's name for it is "bacterial SSU rRNA". It matches the Rfam family "Bacterial small subunit ribosomal RNA", at positions 662 to 1357 of the family's 1533-position model. The record is from RNAcentral. Lineage: Bacteria; Pseudomonadati; Pseudomonadota; Gammaproteobacteria; Orbales; Orbaceae.